GGCUGGGCCGGGUUCCCGACUUCGGUCACAAACGCGCCGCCCGAAACCGCCGGUCGGACUCCACUCUCCACCUCGCCGUCUUCGCCGUCGCCGCCGGCCAAGGGAUGGGGACGUCGGUGCAGGUGACGCCGCUGAGCGGCGCGUACGGCGAGGGCCCCCUCUGCUACCUGCUCGCCGUCGACGGCUUCCGCUUCCUCCUCGACUGCGGCUGGACCGACCACUGCGACCCCGCCGUGCUCCAGCCCCUCGCAAGGGUUGCCCCAACAAUAGAUGCUGUUCUUCUGUCUCACCCUGACAUGAUGCAUCUGGGAGCUUUGCCCUAUGCUAUGAAGCAUCUUGGAUUAUCUGCACCAGUAUAUGCCACAGAACCUGUGUUUAGGCUUGGACUUCUGACCAUGUAUGAUUAUUUCCUAUCUCGAUGGCAAGUUGCAGACUUUGACUUGUUCACUUUGGAUGAUAUAGAUGCUGCAUUCCAGAAUGUCGUGAGGCUAAAAUACUCACAAAACCACCUUCUUAAAGAUAAAGGUGAAGGAAUAGUGAUUGCACCGCAUGUGUCUGGGCAUCUGUUGGGGGGUACAGUAUGGAAGAUAACAAAAGAUGGGGAAGACGUCAUCUAUGCAGUUGAUUUCAACCACCGAAAAGAGAGACAUUUGAAUGGUACUGCCCUUGGAUCUUUUGUACGGCCAGCUGUUUUGAUUACUGAUGCUUACAAUGCCUUGAACAAUCAAGUCUACAAAAGGCAGCAGGAUCAAGAUUUCAUUGAUUCAAUGGUGAAAGUUCUAUCAAAUGGUGGUAGCGUGUUACUGCCUGUUGAUACAGCCGGUAGAGUGCUAGAACUUCUUUUAAUAAUGGAGCAGUACUGGGCUCAACGACAUUUGGUCUAUCCUAUCUACUUUCUGACAAAUGUUUCUACAAGUACUAUUGAUUUUGUCAAGAGUUUUCUUGAAUGGAUGAGCGAUUCAAUCUCAAAGUCUUUUGAACACACUAGAGAUAAUGCCUUUCUAUUAAGAUAUGUUUCACUGAUAAUUAACAAAGAAGAGCUGGAGAAACUGGGAGAUGCUCCAAAGGUGGUUCUAGCGUCCAUGUCAAGCUUGGAGGUUGGCUUUUCUCAUGACAUAUUUGUUGAUAUGGCAAAUGAAGCAAAAAACCUGGUGCUUUUUACUGAGAAAGGACAGUUUGGGACUCUUGCUCGCAUGCUUCAAGUGGAUCCACCCCCCAAAGCUGUAAAAGUGACUAUGAGCAAACGAAUUCCUUUAGUUGGUGAUGAGCUGAAAGCUUAUGAAGAGGAACAAGAACGGGUAAAAAAGGAAGAAGCGCUAAAGGCUAGCCUCAGCAAGGAGGAGGAGCUAAAGGCUUCUCAGGGAUCAAAUGCAAAGGCUUCUGCUCCCAUGGUCGUCGAUGCAAGCUUGUCUUGUAAAUCAUCCAAUGCUGGCUCAAAUGUUGGCGGGAGUGUGGAUAUUCUAAUUGAUGGAUUUGUCCCUCCGGCGACCAGUGUCGCUCCUAUGUUUCCUUUCUUUGAAAAUACUGCUGACUGGGAUGACUUCGGUGAGGUUAUCAAUCCUGAUGAUUAUAUGAUGAAACAAGAUGAAAUGGAUAAUAAUUUGAUGCUCGGUGCUGGAGAUGGUAUGGAUGGUAAGCUUGAUGAGGGAUCAGCACGCCUGCUCCUUGAUUCGGCACCAUCAAAAGUGAUUUCAAAUGAGAUGACAGUGCAAGUGAAGUGCUCAUUGGCAUAUAUGGACUUUGAAGGUCGGUCCGAUGGCCGUUCCGUAAAAUCUGUUAUUGCUCAUGUGGCCCCACUGAAACUUGUUUUGGUGCAUGGAUCUGCAGAAGCUACUGAACAUUUGAAAAUGCAUUGUGCAAAGAACUCAGACCUGCAUGUUUAUGCUCCUCAGUUGGAAGAAACAAUUGAUGUAACAUCAGAUUUAUGUGCUUACAAGGUACAACUUUCAGAGAAGUUCAUGAGCAAUGUCAUAUCUAAGAAGUUAGGUGAGCAUGAAAUUGCGUGGGUUGAUGCAGAAGUUGGGAAAGUGGACGAGAAGCUUACUUUGCUACCACCCUCGUCAACUCCAUCAGCCCAUAAACCAGUUCUUGUCGGUGAUCUGAAAUUGGCUGAUUUCAAGCAAUUCCUUGCAAAUAAAGGUUUACAGGUCGAGUUUUCUGGGGGUGCUCUACGUUGUGGCGAGUACAUCACGGUGCGCAAGAUUGGCGAUUCUAACCAAAAGGGCAGCACGGGUUCUCAGCAAAUCGUGAUCGAGGGCCCGCUGUGCGAGGACUACUACAAGAUACGCGAGCUCCUCUACUCGCAGUUCUUCUUGCUGUAACCAAGGCUAACCUCCCGGAGCUGCACUUGUGGCAAUGUUCCUGUUGUGUGAUUUGUAGAAGUGAUGAGUGGAUAGUCAAGGGGAGACUACUAGUGUUGUGUUAAUUUAAUCCUGUUUCCAAGCAUCAAAAAGGGUGUUGCAAGUAUCCAUCUGGAAUUCGCCCAUGGGGGCUUGUUCAUGAGUACUCAGGAGCCAUCACCAGACAGCGUUCCCGGUCUGAUUUCUGCCUACCGUUUGUUUGCGUCCCCAUUUCCUCACCAAACAGGCAAAUAACUAUGGCUUGAACUAAUUCAUCUAUGUGUUUUACAUGGUUCUAUCUCUUACUACAUGGAUUAUGACUUGUGAGAUAGCUUCACAUCAAAAGCUAGCAUGAAGAUAUAUGAAAUUGCCUAUGUGAUUGCUCAAGAAGGUGGUUUGUUUACCAAGUGGGCUGAAUCUUAGACUGAGUGCAAAUGACAGGGCCAGUAUGAGCACAAGUGUUGCUGUUUAAGCAUGGAUCAAAUGCAAAAUCCGAGUUGAGCAUGUCAUAUCAACUUUGUGUAAGCAGAACUAAGCAAGGUAUUUUGUUUGCAGAUGCUCCACCUGAUGCUUAAAAAAGCAUGUAUAUGUAACUCCUACGAUCAUGAUUUGAACCUACCAUGUAUAUCAGUCUUAUAUAUUUUCAACGGGAACGGUCUAAUCUUCGUCUUUUCUUC
RNA transcript from Lolium perenne, 3016 nucleotides. It is a transcript of the gene named cleavage and polyadenylation specificity factor subunit 2, with no coding region annotated. Lineage: Eukaryota; Viridiplantae; Streptophyta; Magnoliopsida; Poales; Poaceae. The record is from RefSeq and is a predicted model, not a curated record.